This 284-nucleotide signal recognition particle RNA is filed under the name Ceratocystis platani. Its description in RNAcentral is "Fungal signal recognition particle RNA". It matches the Rfam family "Fungal signal recognition particle RNA". Lineage: Eukaryota; Fungi; Ascomycota; Sordariomycetes; Microascales; Ceratocystidaceae. The record is from Rfam by way of RNAcentral.
CGGCUGUAAUGGUCAUAUUGGAUGAAGGCGUGUCACAAUUUCCCGAUAUGGUUUCCACCAAAUCCGUUAGCUCCCUCCCGCUGACGCCCAGCUCGAACACUGCGGUAGAUUCCGAUCACUCGCUCGGGAAACCAGCGACGCUGACUCGGCUCUAAGCAAUAGGGGAUCACACUUCAGGAAGGCUUCACUUCGCAGAGAAAUUCCCACCGUCGCGUGGCGGGUUGGAUUACGAUCGCGGGGGGCUUGGUGGACUGUAUUAGGAUGGACAUGACAACUCUUUUUUU